RNAcentral lists this ribosomal RNA (452 nucleotides) under uncultured bacterium. RNAcentral describes it as "bacterial SSU rRNA". It matches the Rfam family "Bacterial small subunit ribosomal RNA", at positions 29 to 523 of the family's 1533-position model. The record is from RNAcentral.
AGCGAACGCUGGCGGCAGGCUUAACACAUGCAAGUCGAACGGGCGUAGCAAUACGUCAGUGGCAGACGGGUGAGUAACGCGUGGGAACGUACCUUUUAGUUCGGAACAACCAAGGGAAACUUUGGCUAAUACCGGAUACGCCCUUACGGGGAAAGAUUUAUCGCUGAAAGAUCGGCCCGCGUCUGAUUAGCUUGUUGGUGAGGUAAUGGCUCACCAAGGCGACGAUCAGUAGCUGGUCUGAGAGGAUGAUCAGCCACAUUGGGACUGAGACACGGCCCAAACUCCUACGGGAGGCAGCAGUGGGGAAUAUUGGACAAUGGGCGAAAGCCUGAUCCAGCCAUGCCGCGUGAGUGAUGAAGGCCCUAGGGUUGUAAAGCUCUUUUGUGCGGGAAGAUAAUGAACGGUACCGCAAGAAUAAGCCCCGGCUAACUUCGUGCCAGCCGUCGCCGUAA